RNAcentral lists this ribosomal RNA (484 nucleotides) under uncultured bacterium. RNAcentral's name for it is "partial 16S ribosomal RNA". It matches the Rfam family "Bacterial small subunit ribosomal RNA", at positions 30 to 507 of the family's 1533-position model. The record is from RNAcentral.
AUUGAACGUUGGCGGCAGGCCUAACACAUGCAAGUCGAGCGGAUGAAGGGAGCUUGCUCCUGGAUUCAGCGGCGGACGGGUGAGUAAUGCCUAGGAAUCUGCCUGGUAGUGGGGGAUAACGUCCGGAAACGGGCGCUAAUACCGCAUACGUCCUGAGGGAGAAAGUGGGGGAUCUUCGGACCUCACGCUAUCAGAUGAGCCUAGGUCGGAUUAGCUAGUUGGUGGGGUAAAGGCCUACCAAGGCGACGAUCCGUAACUGGUCUGAGAGGAUGAUCAGUCACACUGGAACUGAGACACGGUCCAGACUCCUACGGGAGCCAGCAGUGGGGAAUAUUGGACAAUGGGCGAAAGCCUGAUCCAGCCAUGCCGCGUGUGUGAAGAAGGUCUUCGGAUUGUAAAGCACUUUAAGUUGGGAGGAAGGGCAGUAAGUUAAUACCUUGCUGUUUUGACGUUACCAACAGAAUAAGCACCGGCUAACUUCGUG